UUGGAAAUACCCCAAAGCCUUGUCUUUAUCUGUCAACUCCUCCAAAAUGUCAAAACACAAACAAGAUAACUCUUUCUUAAAUUUUCAACCAUCAAUUUUUUAUUCACCUAGCCUAAAAGUCCUGAUUAUCAGUUCUGGGUCCCUGGCAAUGACUGUUGGGUACAAACUGCAAAGCUUUGUUCUGCAGGUAGGGCUGGGCUUUUCAUUGACCAUGGGUUGGAAUAGUUCUGUGGGCAUAGUGUGUCUUCGAAGCCACUAUGUUUUCUGCACUUGUGACUAGAGAGCACCUUGAUAGCUCAGUUUGUAGAGCGGUGGACUGUAAGAUGCUCCUUUGUGGAACGCUGUGAUCCUAAGGUCGCUGGUUCAACUCCAGCUCCAAGCACCUCCUUGUCAUUGUAAAUACCCCCAAGCCUUGUCUUUAUCUGUCAACUCCUCCAAAAUGUCAAAACACAAAGAAGAUAACUCUUUCUUAAAUUUUCAACCAUCAAUUUUUAUUCACCCAGCCUAAAAGUCCUGAUUAUCAGUUCUGGGUCCCUGGCAAUGACUUUUGGGUACAAACUGCAAAGCUUUGUUCUGCAGGUAGGGCUGGGCUUUUCAUUGACCAUGGGUUGGAAUAGUUCUGUGGGCAUAGUGUGUCUUCGAAGCCACUAUGUUUUCUGCACUUGUGACUAGAGAGCACCUUGAUAGCUCAGUUGGUAGAGCGGUGGACUGUAAGAUGCUCCUUGUGUGAAACGCUGUGAUCCUAAGGUCGCUGGUUCAACUCCAGCUCCAAGCAGCUCCUUGUCAUUGGAAAUACCCCCAAGCCUUGUCUUUAUCUGUCAACUCCUCCAAAAUGUCAAAACACAAAGAAGAUAACUCUUUCUUAAAUUUUCAACCAUCAAUUUUUUAUUCACCCAGCCUAAAAGUCCUGAUUAUCAGUUCUGGGUCCCUGGCAAUGACUGUUGGGUACAAACUGCAAAGCUUUGUUCUGCAGGUAGGGCUGGGCUUUUCAUUGACCAUGGGUUGGAAUAGUGCUGUGGGCAUAGUGUGUCUUCGAAGCCACUAUGUUUUCUGCACUUGUGACUAGAGAGCACCUUGAUAGCUCAGUUGGUAGAGCGGUGGACUGUAAGAUGCUCCUUGUGUGAAACGCUGUGAUCCUAAGGUCGCUGGUUCAACUCCAGCUCCAAGCACCUCCUUGACAUUGGAAAUACCCCCAAGCCUUGUCUUUAUCUGUCAACUCCUCCAAAAUGUCAAAACACAAAGAAGAUAACUCUUUCUUUAAUUUUCAACCAUCAAUUUUUUAUUCACCCAGCCUAAAAGUCCUGAUUAUCAGUUCUGGGUCCCUGGCAAUGACUGUUGGGUACAAACUGCAAAGCUUUGUUCUUCAGGUAGGGCUGGGCUUUUCAUUGACCAUGGGUUGGAAUAGUUCUGUGGGCAUAGUGUGUCUUCGAAGCCACUAUGUUUUCUGCACUUGUGACUAGAGAGCACCUUGAUAGCUCAGUUUGUAGAGCGGUGGACUGUAAGAUGCUCCUUGUGUGAAACGCUGUGAUCCUAAGGUCUCUGGUUCAACUCCAGCUCCAAGCACCUCCUUGUCAUUGGAAAUACCCCCAAGCCUUGUCUUUAUCUUUCAACUCCUCCAAAAUGUCAAAACACAAAGAAGAUAACUCUUUCUUAAAUUUUCAACCAUCAAUUUUUUAUUCACCCAGCCUAACAGUCCUGAUUAUCAGUUCUGGGUCCCUGGCAAUGACUGUUGGGUACAAACUGCAAAGCUUUGUUCUGCAGGUAGGGCUGGGCUUUUCAUUGACCAUGGGUUGGAAUAGUUCUGUGGGCAUAGUGUGUCUACGAAGCCACUAUGUUUUCUGCACUUGUGACUAGAGAGCACCUUGAUAGCUCAGUUGGUAGAGCGGUGGACUGUAAGAUGCUCCUUGUGUGAAACGCUGUGAUCCUAAGGUCGCUGGUUCAACUCCAGCUCCAAGCAGCUCCUUGUCAUUGGAAAUACCCCCAAGCCUUGUCUUUAUCUGUCAACUCCUCCAAAAUGUCAAAACACAAAGAAGAUAACUCUUUCUUAAAUUUUCAACCAUCAAUUUUUUAUUCACCCAGCCUAAAAGUCCUGAUUAUCAGUUCUGGGUCCCUGGCAAUGACUGUUGGGUACAAACUGCAAAGCUUUGUUCUGCAGGUAGGGCUGGGCUUUUCAUUGACCAUGGGUUGGAAUAGUUCUGUGGGCAUAGUGUGUCUUCGAAGCCACUAUGUUUUCUGCACUUGUGACUAGAGAGCACCUUGAUAGCUCAGUUGGUAGAGCGGUGGACUGUAAGAUCCUCCUUGUGUGAAACGCUGUGAUCCUAAGGUCGCUGGUUCAACUCCAGCUCCAAGCAACUCCUUGUCAUUGGAAAUACCCCCAAGCCUUGUCUUUAUCUGUCAACUCCUCCAAAAUGUCAAAACACAAAGAAGAUAACUCUUUCUUAAAUUUUCAACCAUCAAUGUUUUAUUCACCCAGCCUAAAAGUCCUGAUUAUCAGUUCUGGGUCCCUGGCAAUGACUGUUGGGUACAAACUGCAAAGCUUUGUUCUGCAGGUAGGGCUGGGCUUUUCAUUGACCAUGGGUUGGAAUAGUUCUGUGGGCAUAGUGUGUCUUCGAAGCCACUAUGUUUUCUGCACUUGCGACUAGAGAGCACCUUGAUAGCUCAGUUUGUAGAGCGGUGGACUGUAAGAUGCUCCUUGUGUGAAACGCUGUGAUCCUAAGGUGGCUGGUUCAACUCCAGCUCCAAGCACCUCCUUGUCAUUGGAAAUACCCCCAAGCCUUGUCUUUAUCUUUCAACUCCUCCAAAAUGUCAAAACACAAAGAAGAUAACUCUUUCUUAAAUUUUCAACCAUCAAUUUUUUAUUCACCCAGCCUAAAAGUCCUGAUUAUCAGUUCUGGGUCCCUGGCAAUGACUGUUGGGUACAAACUGCAAAGCUUUGUUCUGCAGGUAGGGCUGGGCUUUUCAUUGACCAUGGGUUGGAAUAGUUCUGUGGGCAUAGUGUGUCUUCGAAGCCACUAUGUUUUCUGCACUUGUGACUAGAGAGCACCUUGAUAGCUCAGUUGGUAGAGCGGUGGACUGUAAGAUGCUCCUUGUGUGAAACGCUGUGAUCCUAAGUUCGCUGUUUCAACUCCAGCUCCAUGCACCUCCUUGUCAUUGGAAAUACCCCCAAGCCUUGUCUUUAUCUGUCAACUCCUCCAAAAUGUCAAAACACAAACAAGAUAGCUCUUUCUUAAAUUUUCAACCAUCAAUUUUUUAUUCACCCAGCCUAAAAGUCCUGAUUAUCAGUUCUGGGUCCCUGGCAAUGACUGUUGGGUACAAACUGCAAAGCUUUGUUCUGCAGGUAGGGCUGGGCUUUUCAUUGACCAUGGGUUGGAAUAGUUCUUUGGGCAUAGUGUGUCUUCGAAGCCACUAUGUUUUCUGCACUUGAGACUAGAGAGCACCUUGAUAGCUCAGUUGGUACAGCGGUGGACUGUAAGAUGCUCCUUGUGUGAAACGCUGUGAUCCUAAGGUCGCUGGUUCAACUCCAGCUCCAUGCACCUCCUUGUCAUUGGAAAUACCCCCAAGCCUUGUCUUUAUCUGUCAACUCCUCCAAAAUGUCAAAACACAAAGAAGAUAACUCUUUCUUAAAUUUUCAACCAUCAAUUUUUUAUUCACCCAGCCUAAAAGUCCUGAUUAUCAGUUCUGGGUCCCUGGCAAUGACUGUUGGGUACAAACUGCAAAGCUUUGUUCUGCAGGUAGGGCUGGGCUUUUCAUUGACCAUGGGUUGGAAUAGUUCUGUGGGCAUAGUGUGUCUUCGAAGCCACUAUGUUUUCUGCACUUGUGACUAGAGAACACCUUGAUAGCUCAGUUGGUAGAGCGGUGGACUGUAAAAUGCUCCUUGUGUGAAACGCUGUGAUCCUAAGGUCGCUGGUUCAACUCCAGCUCCAAGCACCUCCUUGUCAUUGGAAAUACCCCCAAGCCUUGUCUUUAUCUGUCAACUCCUCCAAAAUGUCAAAACACAAAGAAGAUAACUCUUUCUUAAAUUUUCAACCAUCAAUGUUUUAUUCACCCAGCCUAAAAGUCCUGAUUAUCAGUUCUGGGUCCCUGGCAAUGACUGUUGGGUACAAACUGCAAAGCUUUGUUCUGCAGGUAGGGCUGGGCUUUUCAUUGACCAUGGGUUGGAAUAGUUCUGUGGGCAUAGUGUGUCUUCGAAGCCACUAUGUUUUCUGCACUUGUGACUAGAGAGCACCUUGAUAGCUCAGUUGGUAGAGCGGUGGCCUGUAAGAUGCUCCUUGUGUGAAACGCUGUGAUCCUAAGGUCGCUGGUUCAACUCCAGCUCCAAGCACCUCCGUGUCUUUGGAAAUACCCCCAAGCCUUGUCUUUAUCUGUCAACUCCUCCAAAAUGUCAAAACACAAAGAAGAUAACUCUUUCUUAAAUUUUCAACCAUCAAUUUUUUAUUCACCCAGCCUAAAAGUCCUGAUUAUCAGUUCUGGGUCCCUGGCAAUGACUGUUGGGUACAAACUGCAAAGCUUUGUUCUGCAGGUAGGGCUGGGCUUUUCAUUGACCAUGGGUUGGAAUAGUUCUUUGGGCAUAGUGUGUCUUCGAAGCCACUAUGUUUUCUGCACUUGUGCCUAGAGAGCACCUUGAUAGCUCAGUUGCUAGAGCGGUGGACUCUAAGAUGCUCCUUGUGUGAAACGCUGUGAUCCUAAGUUCGCUGGUUCAACUCCAGCUCCAUGCACCUCCUUGUCAUUGGAAAUACCCCCAAGCCUUGUCUUUAUCUGUCAACUCCUCCAAAAUGUCAAAACACAAAGAAGAUAACUCUUUCUUAAAUUUUCAACCAUCAAUUUUUUAUUCACCCAGCCUAAAAGUCCUGAUUAUCAGUUCUGGGUCCCUGGCAAUGACUGUUGGGUACAAACUGCAAAGCUUUGUUCUGCAGGUAGGGCUGGGCUUUUCAUUGACCAUGGGUUGGAAUAGUUCUGUGGGCAUAGUGUGUCUUCGAAGCCACUAUGUUUUCUGCACUUGCGACUAGAGAGCACCUUGAUAUCUCAGUUGGUAGAGCGGUGGACUGUAAGAUGCUCCUUGUGUGAAACGCUGUGAUCCUAAGUUCGCUGGUUCAACUCCAGCUCCAUGCACCUCCUUGUCAUUGGAAAUACCCCCAAGCCUUGUCUUUAUCUGUCAACUCCUCCAAAAUGUCAAAACACAAACAAGAUAGCUCUUUCUUAAAUUUUCAACCAUCAAUUUUUUAUUCACCCAGCCUAAAAGUCCUGAUUAUCAGUUCUGGGUCCCUGGCAAUGACUGUUGGGUACAAACUGCAAAGCUUUGUUCUGCAGGUAGGGCUGGGCUUUUCAUUGACCAUGGGUUGGAAUAGUUCUUUGGGCAUAGUGUGUCUUCGAAGCCACUAUGUUUUCUGCACUUGUGACUAGAGAGCACCUUGAUAGCUCAGUUGGUAGAGCGGUGGACUGUAAGAUGCUCCUUGUGUGAAACGCUGUGAUCCUAAGUUCGCUGGUUCAACUCCAGCUCCAUGCACCUCCUUGUCAUUGGAAAUACCCCCAAGCCUUGUCUUUAUCUGUCAACUCCUCCAAAAUGUCAAAACAAAAAGAAGAUAACUCUUUCUUAAAUUUUCAACCAUCAAUUUUUUAUUCACCCAGCCUAAAAGUCCUGAUUAUCAGUUCUGGGUCCCUGGCAAUGUCUGUUGGGUACAAACUGCAAAGCUUUGUUCUGCAGGUAGGGCUGGGCUUUUCAUUGACCAUGGGUUGGAAUAGUUCUGUGGGCAUAGUGUGUCUUCGAAGCCACUAUGUUUUCUGCACUUGUGAAUAGAGAGCACCUUGAUAGCUCAGUUGGUAGAGCGGUGGACUGUAAAAUGCUCCUUGUGUGAAACGCUGUGAUCCUAAGGUCGCUGGUUCAACUCCAGCUCCAAGCACCUCCUUGUCAUUGGAAAUACCCCCAAGCCUUGUCUUUAUCUGUCAACUCCUCCAAAAUGUCAAAACACAAAGAAGAUAACUCUUUCUUAAAUUUUCAACCAUCAAUGUUUUAUUCACCCAGUCUAAAAGUCCUGAUUAUCAGUUCUGGGUCCCUGGCAAUGACUGUUGGGUACAAACUGCAAAGCUUUGUUCUGCAGGUAGGGCUGGGCUUUUCAUUGACCAUGGGUUGGAAUAGUUCUGUGGGCAUAGUGUGUCUUCGAAGCCACUAUGUUUUCUGCACUUGUGACUAGAGAGCACCUUGAUAGCUCAGUCGGUAGAGCGGUGGACUGUAAGAUGCUCCUUGUGUGAAACGCCGUGAUCCUAAGGUCGCUGGUUCAACUCCAGCUCUAAGCACCUCCUUGUCAUUGGAAAUACCCCCAAGCCUUGUCUUUAUCUGUCAACUCCUCCAAAAUGUCAAAACACAAAGAAGAUAACUCUUGCUUAAAUUUUCAACCAUCAAUUUUUUAUUCACCCAGCCUAAAAGUCCUGAUUAUCAGUUCUGGGUCCCUGGCAAUGACUGUUGGGUACAAACUGCAAAGCUUUGUUCUGCAGGUAGGGCUGGGCUUUUCAUUGACCAUGGGUUGGAAUAGUUCUGUGGGCAUAGUGUGUCUUCGAAGCCACUAUGUUUUCUGCACUUGUGACUAGAGAGCACCUUGAUAGCUCAGUUGGUAGAGCGGUGGACUGUAAGAUGCUCCUUGUGUGAAACGCUGUGAUCCUAAGGUCGCUGGUUCAACUCCAGCUCCAAGCACCUCCUUGUCAUUGGAAAUACCCCCAAGCCUUGUCUUUAUCUGUCAACUCCUCCAAAAUGUCAAAACACAAAGAAGAUAACUCUUUCUUAAAUUUUCAACCAUCAAUGUUUUAUUCACCCAGCCUAAAAGUCCUGAUUAUCAGUUCUGGGUCCCUGGCAAUGACUGUUGGGUACAAACUGCAAAGCUUUGUUCUGCAGGUAGGGCUGGGCUUUUCAUUGACCAUGGGUUGGAAUAGUUCUGUGGGCAUAGUGUGUCUUAGAAGCCACUAUGUUUUCUGCACUUGUGAAUAGAGAGCACCUUGAUAGCUCAGUUGGUUGAGCGGUGGACUGUAAGAUGCUCCUUGUGGGAAACGCCGUGAUCCUAAGGUCGCUGGUUCAACUCCAGCUCCAAGCACCUCCUUGUCAUUGGAAAUACACCCUAGCCUUGUCUUUGUCUGUCAACUCCUCCAAAAUGUCAAAACACAAAGAACAUAACUCUUUCUUAAAUUUUCAACCAUCAAUUUUUUAUUCACCCAGCCUAAAAGUCCUGAUUAUCAGUUCUGGGUCCCUGGCAAUGACUGUUGGGUACAAACUGGAAAGCUUUGUUCUGCAGGUAGGGCUGGGCUUUUCAUUGACCAUGGGUUGGAAUAGUUCUGUGGGCAUAGUGUGUCUUCGAAGCCACUAUGUUUUCUGCACUUGUGACUAGAGAGCACCUUGAUAGCUCAGUUGGUAGAGCGGUGGACUGUAAGAUGCUCCUUGUGUGAAACGCUGUGAUCCUAAGGUCGCUGGUUCAACUCCAGCUCCAAGCACGUCCUUGUCAUUGGAAAUACCCCCAAGCCUUGUCUUUAUCUGUCAACUCCUCCAAAAUGUCAAAACACAAACAAGAUAACUCUUUCUUAAAUUUUCAACCAUCAAUGUUUUAUUCACCCAGCCUAAAAGUCCUGAUUAUCAGUUCUGGGUCCCUGGCAAUGACUGUUGGGUACAAACUGCAAAGCUUUGUUCUGCAGGUAGGGCUGGGCUUUUCAUUGACCAUGGGUUGGAAUAGUUCUGUGGGCAUAGUGUGUCUUCGAAGCCACUAUGUUUUCUGCACUUGUGAAUAGAGAUCACCUUGAUAGCUCAGUUGGUUGAGCGGUGGACUGUAAGAUGCUCCUUGUGGGAAAUGCUGUGAUCCUAAGGUCGCUGGUUCAACUCCAGCUCCAAGCACCUCCUUGUCAUUGGAAAUACCCCAUAGCCUUGUCUUUAUCUGUCAACUCCUCCAAAAUGUCAAAACACAAACAAGAUAACUCUUUCUUAAAUUUUCAACCAUCAAUUUUUUAUUCACCCAGCCUAAAAGUCCUGAUUAUCAGUUCUGGGUCCCUGGCAAUGACUGUUGGGUACAAACUGCAAAGCUUUGUUCUGCAGGUAGGGCUGGGCUUUUCAUUGACCAUGGGUUGGAAUAGUUCUGUGGGCAUAGUGUGUCUUCGAAGCCACUAUGUUUUCUGCACUUGUGACUAGAGAGCACCUUGAUAGCUCAGUUGGUAGAGCGGUGGACUGUAAGAUGCUCCUUGUGUGAAACGCUGUGAUCCUAAGGUCGCUGGUUCAACUCCAGCUCCAAGCACCUCCUUGUCAUUGGAAAUACCCCCAAGCCUUGUCUUUAUCUGUCAACUCCUCCAAAAUGUCAAAACACAAACAAGAUAACUCUUUCUUAAAUUUUCAACCAUCAAUGUUUUAUUCACCCAGUCUAAAAGUCCUGAUUAUCAGUUCUGGGUCCCUGGCAAUGACUGUUGGGUACAAACUGCAAAGCUUUGUUCUGCAGGUAGGGCUGGGCUUUUCAUUGACCAUGGGUUGGAAUAGUUCUGUGGGCAUAGUGUGUCUUCGAAGCCACUAUGUUUUCUGCACUUGUGACUAGAGAGCACCUUGAUAGCUCAGUUGGUAGAGCGGUGUACUGUAAGAUGCUCCUUGUAUGAAACGCUGUGAUCCUAAGGUCGCUGGUUCAACUCCAGCUCCAAGCACCUCCUUGUCAUUGGAAAUACCCCAAAGCCUUGUCUUUAUCUGUCAACUCCUCCAAAAUGUCAAAACACAAAGAAGAUAACUCUUGCUUAAAUUUUCAACCAUCAAUUUUUUAUUCACCCAGACUCAAAGUCCUGAUUAUCAGUUCUGGGUCCCUGGCAAUGACUGUUGGGUACAAACUGCAAAGCUUUGUUCUGCAGGUAGGGCUGGGCUUUUCAUUGACCAUGGGUUGGAAUAGUUCUGUGGGCAUAGUGUGUCUUCGAAGCCACUAUGUUUUCUGCACUUGUGACUAGAGAGCACCUUGAUAGCUCAGUUGGUAGAGCGGUGUACAGUAAGAUGCUCCUUGUAUGAAACGCUGUGAUCCUAAGGUCGCUGGUUCAACUCCAGCUCCAAGCACCUCCUUGUCAUUGGAAAUACCGCAAAGCCUUGUCUUUAUCUGUCAACUCCUCCAAAAUGUCAAAACACAAAGAAGAUAACUCUUGCUUAAAUUUUCAACCAUCAAUUUUUUAUUCACCCAGACUCAAAGUCCUGAUUAUCAGUUCUGGGUCCCUGGCAAUGACUGUUGGGUACAAACUGCAAAGCUUUGUUCUGCAGGUAGGGCUGGGCUUUUCAUUGACCAUGGGUUGGAAUAGUUCUGUGGGCAUAGUGUGUCUUCGAAGCCACUAUGUUUUCUGCACUUGUGAAUAGAGAGCACCUUGAUAGCUCAGUUGGUUGAGCGGUGGACUGUAAGAUGCUCCUUGUGGGAAACGCCGUGAUCCUAAGGUCGCUGGUUCAACUCCAGCUCCAAGCACCUCCUUGUCAUUGGAAAUACCCCCAAGCCUUGUCUUUAUCUGUCAACUCCUCCAAAAUGUCAAAACACAAACAAGAUAACUCUUGCUUAAAUUUUCAACCAUCAAUGUUUUAUUCACCCAGCCUAAAAGUCCUGAUUAUCAGUUCUGGGUCCCUGGCAAUGACUGUUGGGUACAAACUGCAAAGCUUUGUUCUGCAGGUAGGGCUGGGCUUUUCAUUGACCAUGGGUUGGAAUAGUUCUGUGGGCAUAGUGUGUCUUCGAAGCCACUAUGUUUUCUGCACUUGUGAAUAGAGAGCACCUUGAUAGCUCAGUUGGUAGAGCGGUGGACUGUAAGAUGCUCCUUGUGUGAAACGCUGUGAUCCUAAGGUCGCUGGUUCAACUCCAGCUCCAAGCACCUCCUUGUCAUUGGAAAUACCCCAAAGCCUUGUCUUUAUCUGUCAACUCCUCCAAAAUGUCAAAACACAAAGAAGAUAACUCUUGCUUAAAUUUUCAACCAUCAAUUUUUUAUUCACCCAGACUCAAAGUCCUGAUUAUCAGUUCUGGGUCCCUGGCAAUGACUGUUGGGUACAAACUGCAAAGCUUUGUUCUGCAGGUAGGGCUGGGCUUUUCAUUGACCAUGGGUUGGAAUAGUUCUGUGGGCAUAGUGUGUCUUCGAAGCCACUAUGUUUUCUGCACUUGUGACUAGAGAGCACCUUGAUAGCUCAGUUGGUAGAGCGGUGUACUGUAAGAUGCUCCUUGUGGGAAACGCCGUGAUCCUAAGGUCGCUGGUUCAACUCCAGCUCCAAGCACCUCCUUGUCAUUGGAAAUACCGCAAAGCCUUGUCUUUAUCUGUCAACUCCUCCAAAAUGUCAAAACACAAAGAAGAUAACUCUUGCUUAAAUUUUCAACCAUCAAUUUUUUAUUCACCCAGACUCAAAGUCCUGAUUAUCAGUUCUGGGUCCCUGGCAAUGACUGUUGGGUACAAACUGCAAAGCUUUGUUCUGCAGGUAGGGCUGGGCUUUUCAUUGACCAUGGGUUGGAAUAGUUCUGUGGGCAUAGUGUGUCUUCGAAGCCACUAUGUUUUCUGCACUUGUGACUAGAGAGUACCUUGAUAGCUCAGUUGGUAGAGCGGUGGACUGUAAGAUGCUCCUUGUGUGAAACGCUGUGAUCCUAAGGUCGCUGGUUCAACUCCAGCUCCAAGCACCUCCUUGUCAUUGGAAAUACCCCCAAGCCUUGUCUUUAUCUGUCAACUCCUCCAAAAUGUCAAAACACAAACAAGAUAACUCUUUCUUAAAUUUUCAACCAUCAAUGUUUUAUUCACCCAGCCUAAAAGUCCUGAUUAUCAGUUCUGGGUCCCUGGCAAUGACUGUUGGGUACAAACUGCAAAGCUUUGUUCUGCAGGUAGGGCUGGGCUUUUCAUUGACCAUGGGUUGGAAUAGUUCUGUGGGCAUAGUGUGUCUUCGAAGCCACUAUGUUUUCUGCACUUGUGAGUAGAGAGCACGUUGAUAGCUCAGUUGGUAGAGCGGUGGACUGUAAGAUGCUCCUUGUGUGAAACGCCGUGAUCCUAAGGUCGCUGGUUCAACUCCAGCUCCAAGCACCUCCUUGUCAUUGGAAAUACCCCCAAGCCUUGUCUUUAUCUGUCAACUCCUCCAAAAUGUCAAAACACAAAGAAGAUAACUCCUUCUUAAAUUUUCAACCAUCAAUGUUUUAUUCACCCAGCCUAAAAGUCCUGAUUAUCAGUUCUGGGUCCCUGGCAAUGACUGUUGGGUACAAACUGCAAAGCUUUGUUCUGCAGGUAGGGCUGGACUUUUCAUUGACCAUGGGUUGGAAUAGUUCUGUGGGCAUAGUGUGUCUUCGAAGCCACUAUGUUUUCUGCACUUGUGACUAGACAGCACCUUGAUAGCUCAGUUGGUAGAGCGGUGGACUGUAAAAUGCUCCUUGUGUGAAACGCCGUGAUCUUAAGGUCGCUGGUUCAACUCCAGCUCCAAGCACCUCCUUGUCAUUGGAAAUACCCCCAGGCCUUGUCUUUAUCUGUCAACUCCUCCAAAAUGUCAAAACACAAAGAAGAUAACUCUUUCUUAAAUUUUCAACCAUCAAUGUUUUAUUCACCCAGCCUAAAAGUCCUGAUUAUCAGUUCUGGGUCCCUGGCAAUGACUGUUGGGUACAAACUGCAAAGCUUUGUUCUGCAGGUAGGGCUGGGCUUUUCAUUGACCAUGGGUUGGAAUAGUUCUGUGGGCAUAGUGUGUCUUCGAAGCCACUAUGUUUUCUGCACUUGUGACUAGAGAGCACCUUGAUAGCUCAGUUGGUAGAGCGGUGGACUGUAAGAUGCUCCUUGUGUGAAACGCUGUGAUCCUAAGGUCGCUGGUUCAACUCCAGCUCCAAGCACCUCCUUGUCAUUGGAAAUACCCCCAAGCCUUGUCUUUAUCUGUCAACUCCUCCAAAAUGUCAAAACACAAAGAAGAUAACUCUUUCUUAAAUUUUCAACCAUCAAUGUUUUAUUCACCCAGCCUAAAAGUCCUGAUUAUCAGUUCUGGGUCCCUGGCAAUGACUGUUGGGUACAAACUGCAAAGCUUUGUUCUGCAGGUAGGGCUGGGCUUUUCAUUGACCAUGGGUUGGAAUAGUUCUGUGGGCAUAGUGUGUCUUCGAAGCCACUAUGUUUUCUGCACUUGUGACGAGAGAGCACCUUGAUAGCUCAGUUGGUAGAGCGGUGGACUGUAAGAUGCUCCUUGUGGGAAACGCCGUGAUCCUAAGGUCGCUGGUUCAACUCCAGCUCCAAGCACCUCCUUGUCAUUGGAAAUACCCCCUAGCCUUGUCUUUAUCUGUCAACUCCUCCAAAAUGUCAAAACACAAACAAGAUAACUCUUGCUUAAUUUUCCAACCAUCAAUGUUUUAUUCACCCAGCCUAAAAGUCCUGAUUAUCAGUUCUGGGUCCCUGGCAAUGACUGUUGGGUACAAACUGCAAAGCUUUGUUCUGCAGGUAGGGCUGGGCUUUUCAUUGACCAUGGGUUGGAAUAGUUCCGUGGUCAUAGUGUGUCUUCGAAGCCAUUAUGUUUUCUGCACUUGUGACUAGAGAGCACCUUGAUUGCUCACUUGGUAGAGUGGUGGACUGUAAGAUGCUCCUCGUGUGAAAAGCUGUGAUCCUAAGGUCGCUCGUUCAACUCCAGCCCCAAGCACCUCCUUGUCAUUGCAAAUACUCCCAAGCCUUGUCUUUAUCUGUCAACUCCUCCAAAAUGUCAAAACACAAACAAGAUAACUCUUUCUUAAAUUUUCAACCAUCAAUUUUUAUUCACCCAGCCUAAAAGUCCUGAUUAUCAGUUCUGGGUCCCCGGCAAUGACUGUUGGGUACAAACUGCAAAGCUUUGUUCUGCAGGUAGGGCUGGGCUUUUCAUUGACCAUGGGUUGGAAUAGUUCUGUGGGCAUAGUGUGUCUUCGAAGCUACUAUGUUUUUUGCACUUGUGACUACAGAGCACCUUGAUAGCCCAGUUGGUAGAGCGGUGGACUGUAAGAUGCUCCUUGUGUGAAACGUUGUGAUCCUAAGGUUGCUGGUUCAACUCCAGCUCCCAGCACGUGCAUUUCAUUGGUGUGAGCAAUGUUCAAAUUCUAUUCACAUUGAAAUAAUGCCAAGCCUUAUCUUCAUCUGUCAUCUCCUCCUUAAUGUAUAAACACAAAGAAUUUAACUCUUGCUUAAUUUUCCAACCAUCAAUUUUUUAUUCACCCAGCCUAAAAGUCCUGAUCAUAAGUUCUGGGUCCCUGGCAAUGACUGUUGGGUACAAACUGCAAAGCUUUCUUCUGCAGGUAGGGCUGGGCUUUUCAUUGACCAUGGGUUCAAAUAGUUCUGUGGGCAUAGUGUUUCGACUCAGCCACUAUGUUUUCUGCAGUAGUAACUAGAGAGCAUCUUGAUAGCUCAGUUGGUAGAGCGGAGGACUGUAGGAUGUUUCCGAUAGAAAUUGCUGUGAUCCUUAGAUCGCUGGUUCGACUCCGGCUCGAAUGAUAUGUAAGCAGUCUUCUGGUUUUAAUCACAUCGAAAUAAUGCGUAGCCUUGUCUUUUUCAAUCAACUACGUCACUUAAAAUGUACAAACACAAAUAAGAUAACUCCUCCUUGUGAUGGACCCACUUACUUUUCCGGUUGACCACCUUUAUGAAAGGCUCAUAUGGCCUACAUAUCACACAAAAAAUGUAAACACGAUAGAAAUGAUUAAUUCAAUGAAUUCAUCUUAGAAAUAAAUGGGCAUGGGCUGCAGGGGCUGUGUGAUCACAGACAACAUCUCGGUACUAUUUAGCGCACACCCCUUUUAAUAACCCCCAUAAAUACUGUUGUUCCGGACUUCUUACUUGUGCUUCCUACCUACCUACUGUAAUAACCGUUGUUCCAGCCAACAUGCAACAUUUUUGUUCUCAUUCAUGAAACGCUUAAAUCGGGGACAUUUUCGGGGACAGACAUAUGGUGACUGUCCCCGGAAAUCAGGGACGUCUGGUCACCUUAGUUAAAAGCGCAUGUUGAACAGUGCUAUUUCAGGGUGAUAAUGGCAUCAAAGAUGAAUUUUCUGCCAGCAUUCCCUCCGUGCUUUUGCAGCGGCGACGGUGUUGCUUUUGAGGUUUAUGAUAGAUUUGAAUUCUUCAUACUUUCUUAUGAUUGUUUUCUGCCCCUUGUUUGUGAAGUCUGCGGUCCUUCGCUCUGCAGUCUGCUCUCUGACGCUCCAGACUGGUCCAUGUUCGCGAUUGGUCAGAUGUGGCGGGCUCCGCCUUAAAUGCGUGCAUGCGCUCAUAGCAAAGCUGGAUCAACUUACGAGGUUGUUAACCAGCGUCGUAAGACCGUUUAGCGAGACCGCUGGCUACCGCGCUAAGUUGAGCGAGGUACCUCCAAGGCUACCUUGCUAGGUUGAACUUGCUUUGUAUAACAGGCCCCUGUUCUCUGUGCUGUAUCAGUUUUCAGUGUUUCUUGUUUUAUUUUGUAGUAGCUGAUUUUUUGUGUUUCUAGACUGGUUUUACUUCCCUAGUUUUCCCUCCUUUGUUAAUCACUCAUGAGUUUCACCUGUGUCUCGUCAGCCUCACCUGUUGCUCGUUAGCCUCACCUGUGUCUCGUCAGCAUCACCUGUUGCUCGUUUCCCAGUGUUUAUAAAGUCCCUGUCUUCUCCUCUGUUCUUGCUGGUUCUUUGUGUGUGCAUGUCUGUCUGUUCCCUGUGAUCUUUGAGUCCCAAAUAUCCUUGUAAUUUUUUUCACCCCACUGUCUAAAGCUGGAUUUUGCCUUUUGGAUGUUUUAGUUGGACAUUUUAAAGUAAGUUUUUGUUGCUUUACAUAAAGUUCUUUUUAAAUAAAUCAUUUUUUGUUCCGCAUUUGGGUCCUUUUUUCUGUUGUUCAACUCUGCUACGUGACAGUUACAGUUGAAGCAAAAAGAAAAAAGGUGCAUCUUUGUUUUUCUUAUAAAAUCGUUUUAGGUCUUCUCAAUUUAUCCCAAAUACUCCUUUCACUAGAGAGUUUAGUUCAAAAUUUUCCAGGUGGGCUUUAAAGAUGUAUAUUGACUAAAGUGGCAGCAUCAGGUUAGAUGCCAGCUAACUGAAAACUUGUUCUCAAAUCUCAUCCUUACAAGCAUGUAGGUUAAACUUGGUCUUGUAAACCUUGUGGGAAAAAUCACUUUUCUUACUGGUAUUUUUCUAAUUAUUCUUCUAAUUUCAUUUCUUCUUUUGAAGUGAAGCAGGUACGCAGCAGAUGCCGAUCACCUUGGCCUCUAAGUUGGGAAAUCUUCGGGAAAACUGAGAUGGAAGCCAGGCUAUCAACUGCUGCAAGUGGGGUCAGCUUCACCAUUUAAUGAAACUCCAACCCAAAGGCUCAUGUUGGUAAAGAUGUACACAUGACACAGAAUUUUUCCAGUACUCAAUUUUGCCACCAGAAAGCCUGUUCAUUACUGUUCUCCUUUGUACUCAAGAUGAGGCACAUCCAUGUUUAUCCAGUCAGCUUUGAAAGAAAUUAAAAAAACACAAUUUAAAUGUGACCACGCCCAAAGUUUGUGUAAUUAAAAUGAAGACAAGUAGACAAAGAGAACCUCACAAUUGCAAACGGACACAUUUUCAACAGCUUUGCCUCUUCAGAACUCGAACAUGGGUUAUGUGAAUCACUGAGUUUAACUUUGACUGUAGCUCUUCCAUGAGUUACAUGU
Molecule: long non-coding RNA, 15577 nt
Filed under: Xyrichtys novacula (pearly razorfish)
Lineage: Eukaryota; Metazoa; Chordata; Actinopteri; Labriformes; Labridae
Rfam family: tRNA (bases 6194-6291)
Source: RNAcentral